This 305-nucleotide ribosomal RNA is filed under the name uncultured bacterium. RNAcentral describes it as "bacterial SSU rRNA". It matches the Rfam family "Bacterial small subunit ribosomal RNA", at positions 334 to 656 of the family's 1533-position model. The record is from RNAcentral.
UUUCCCUACGGGACGCAGCAGUGGGGAAUAUUGCACAAUGGGCGAAAGCCUGAUGCAGCAACGCCGCGUGAAGGAAGACGGUUUUCGGAUUGUAAACUUCUGUUCUUAGUGAAGGAUAAUGACGGUAACUAAGGAGCAAGCCACGGCUAACUACGUGCCAGCAGCCGCGGUAAUACGUAGGUGGCGAGCGUUAUCCGGAAUGAUUGGGCGUAAAGGGUGCGUAGGCGGCCUGCUAAGUCUGGAGUGAAAGGUACCGGCUCAACCGGUACAGGCUCUGGAAACUGGCGGGCUAGAGAGCAGGAGAG